CGGCGACGUGCCCUUGCGCAAUGCUUGUAACACAGAGUUCUUCAUUAAGCAACUUCUGCUGUAGAAGUUAUCUGACUACAUCAGUUAAGUUUACAAAAGCCACUACAGGCAGUGCCACGCAGAAGGACAGCUGGGGUCCUGCCUGCCUGUGGACAGGAAGUCCUGCUUCCCAAAAAAGCUGAGCUCCAGAGGGGUUGGUGCCUUGAAGAAGUGAGAUGCCAGCUCAGCCUGCACCCAGCAGCUGCUUCUGAUGUGAUUUGAUACAAGCUGGGAGUUGCUCUGAGCCUGGUUUUGUGCAAGAGAGAAAUGCUACCAGGAUCCAUUUCCUUUUCAUUACCUGAGCUUUGUGAAAGCAGUGUGGAGACCAAGGCAAGAGGAGUGAGAGGAGUCUCCAACCAGGAAGCAGAUUCGUCUGGAAACCAAGCUGAACCUAAUUACCUGUCCCAGUCUGGAAGACCUGAUGAAGAAAAAACAUUUAUCAUUUUCACUCACAGAGUUUCCCCUUUACCUGGCUCUGUAGAAACACAAAUGUAAGAAGGUGUUUCUCCUCCUGUCCAGGAAUUUACUGUGAAUCAUACCUGGCUUCAUGACGUUGAGAGACUCCAGGUUGCUCCAGGAGGACUCAGGCUCAUGCCUGCCCAUGCUGAGUGGAGUGGCCGUGUGGAUCAGGAGCUUGCUGAGCCUCUAGAGGGGAAAGGGCAACUGAGGGAUUUAGGUGAGACAUCACAGGUCUGGCACAGCAUUGCCUCUUAUUUGAAACAUGUUGGCUCACAUUUGUUUGUUUGGGGGUAUUUUUACUCUGUGUUUGAUCUUUUUAGUUUGCCCUGGGUUGGGAGCAGCAGCAAUGUAUCCCCCUGUUACGCAGAGAUGUUCUUCCUUUGGCUUUUGUAGUUGAUUCAUGCUCAUUGCUCUGCCAGAGCUGUAGUGAGCAAAACUUUUAUUGCCCAGGCAUGUGAUUGCCAUGCAGUGGGAUCUGUGUUACUGCAGGACGUGGGGCUGAUUAGAAAAUCUGUCUAACAGCAAGGGAACAGAGUUCCUUGCUAAUGCUACCUUAUCCUUUAAACUCCUGUUCAGCAUGGGAGGAAAACAGAGGCUACACUAGGUUUAAAAUAAAUGUUCCAUUUAUAACUGGUGUUAAAUAAACUGUUGAU
This is a long non-coding RNA of Prinia subflava (tawny-flanked prinia), 1151 nucleotides long. RefSeq lists it as uncharacterized. The transcript is spliced from 4 exons. The record is from RefSeq and is a predicted model, not a curated record. Lineage: Eukaryota; Metazoa; Chordata; Aves; Passeriformes; Cisticolidae.